GAAACAAACAAGAGUCGGAUGA
This 22-nucleotide non-coding RNA is filed under the name Arabidopsis thaliana (thale cress). Lineage: Eukaryota; Viridiplantae; Streptophyta; Magnoliopsida; Brassicales; Brassicaceae. The record is from RNAcentral.